RNAcentral lists this ribosomal RNA (914 nucleotides) under uncultured marine archaeon. RNAcentral describes it as "bacterial SSU rRNA". It matches the Rfam family "Archaeal small subunit ribosomal RNA", at positions 1 to 921 of the family's 1478-position model. The record is from RNAcentral.
UUCCGGUUGAUCCUGCCGGAGGCUACCGCUAUUGGAGUUCGAUUAAGCCAUGCGAGUCGCGAGUCUUAGGGACUCGGCGUACCGCUCAGUAACACGUGGGUAACCUGCCCUAUGCUGGGGGAUAACCUCGGGAAACUGAGAAUAAUACCCCAUAGUUCACCACGCCUGGAACGGUGGGUGGACCAAAGCUCCGGCGGCAUAGGAUGGGCCUGCGGCGUAUCAGGUUGUAGGGGGUGUAAUGUACCCUCUAGCCCUCUACGCGUACGGGUGUUGAGAGACAUCGCCCGGAGAUGGAUUCUGAGACACGAAUCCAGACCCUACGGGGUGCAGCAGGCGCGAAAACUUGGCAAUGCGAGAAAUCGUGACCAGGGAACUCCAAGUGCAUCGGGUAAGACCGAUGCUUUUCUUGACUCUUCAAAGGUCUUGGAAUAAGGGGUGGGUAAGGACGGUGCCAGCCGCCGCGGUAAUACCGGCGCCUCAAGUGGUAGUCGCUUUUAUUGGGCCUAAAACGUCCGUAGCCGGUUUGGUACAUUCGUGGGUAAAUCAAGGCGCUCAACGUCUUGAAUUCUGCGAGCACGGCCAGACUUGGGACCGGGUGAGGUGUGGGGUACUCUCAGGGUAGGGGUAAAAUCCUGUCAUCCUGAGAGGACCACCUGUUGCGAAGGCGCCACACUAGAACGGAUCCGACGGUCAGGGACGAAGCCUAGGGGCACGAACCGGAUUAGAUACCCGGGUAGUCCUAGGUGUAAACGCUGUGGACUUGAUGUUGGGAGUGCUCCGAGCACCCUCAGUGUCGAAGCGAAGGUGAUAAGUCCACUGCCUGGGGAGUACGGUCGCAAGGCUGAAACUUAAAGGAAUUGGCGGGGGAGCACUGCAACCUGAGGAUUGUGCGGUUUAAUUGGAUUCAACGCCGG